AAAACUUUCAACAACGGAUCUCUUGGUUCUGGCAUCGAUGAAGACGCAAGCGAAAUGCGAUAAGUAAUGUGAAUUGCAGAAUUCAGUGAAUCAUCGAAUCUUUGAACGCACAUUGCGUCCCUCGGUAUUCCGGGGGGCAUGCCUGUUCGAGCGUCAUUA
Molecule: ribosomal RNA, 159 nt
Filed under: Lecanora bicincta
Lineage: Eukaryota; Fungi; Ascomycota; Lecanoromycetes; Lecanorales; Lecanoraceae
Description: 5.8S ribosomal RNA
Rfam family: 5.8S ribosomal RNA
About the family: 5.8S ribosomal RNA (5.8S rRNA) is a component of the large subunit of the eukaryotic ribosome. It is transcribed by RNA polymerase I as part of the 45S precursor that also contains 18S and 28S rRNA.
Source: RNAcentral